This 28-nucleotide non-coding RNA is filed under the name Mus musculus (house mouse). The record is from RNAcentral. Lineage: Eukaryota; Metazoa; Chordata; Mammalia; Rodentia; Muridae.
UCCAUUGAGUGUCAGAGUUUAGACGUGA